ACAAUGUUGCUCCACCCAUAAUAUCUCUCACCUUACUCGGGUAAGGAAUUGAUGUAUUGAAGCGGACAUUGGCCCCCCGUGCCUUACAGGUGCGGUCGGCUCAAAAUUUGGCCCUCGGGGAUGAGCGUCACAAUCAGUGGUGGUUUGAAAACCCCUUUGUCGUUGAUCGGAGUUGUGUCGCCUCACCCCAUAUCAGGCUAUGCGGAUCCUUGUUUGUCGUUAGCACGACAUUCACUUU
Molecule: ribosomal RNA, 238 nt
Filed under: Podophyllum peltatum
Lineage: Eukaryota; Viridiplantae; Streptophyta; Magnoliopsida; Ranunculales; Berberidaceae
Description: partial 5.8S ribosomal RNA
Source: RNAcentral